This 854-nucleotide ribosomal RNA is filed under the name Staphylococcus aureus. Its description in RNAcentral is "bacterial SSU rRNA". It matches the Rfam family "Bacterial small subunit ribosomal RNA", at positions 79 to 924 of the family's 1533-position model. Lineage: Bacteria; Bacillati; Bacillota; Bacilli; Caryophanales; Staphylococcaceae. The record is from RNAcentral.
CCUUGCUUCUCUGAUGUUAGCGGCGGACGGGUGAGUAACACGUGGAUAACCUACCUAUAAGACUGGGAUAACUUCGGGAAACCGGAGCUAAUACCGGAUAAUAUUUUGAACCGCAUGGUUCAAAAGUGAAAGACGGUCUUGCUGUCACUUAUAGAUGGAUCCGCGCUGCAUUAGCUAGUUGGUAAGGUAACGGCUUACCAAGGCAACGAUGCAUAGCCGACCUGAGAGGGUGAUCGGCCACACUGGAACUGAGACACGGUCCAGACUCCUACGGGAGGCAGCAGUAGGGAAUCUUCCGCAAUGGGCGAAAGCCUGACGGAGCAACGCCGCGUGAGUGAUGAAGGUCUUCGGAUCGUAAAACUCUGUUAUUAGGGAAGAACAUAUGUGUAAGUAACUGUGCACAUCUUGACGGUACCUAAUCAGAAAGCCACGGCUAACUACGUGCCAGCAGCCGCGGUAAUACGUAGGUGGCAAGCGUUAUCCGGAAUUAUUGGGCGUAAAGCGCGCGUAGGCGGUUUUUUAAGUCUGAUGUGAAAGCCCACGGCUCAACCGUGGAGGGUCAUUGGAAACUGGAAAACUUGAGUGCAGAAGAGGAAAGUGGAAUUCCAUGUGUAGCGGUGAAAUGCGCAGAGAUAUGGAGGAACACCAGUGGCGAARGCGACUUUCUGGUCUGUAACUGACGCUGAUGUGCGAAAGCGUGGGGAUCAAACAGGAUUAGAUACCCUGGUAGUCCACGCCGUAAACGAUGAGUGCUAGUGUUAGGGGUUUCCGCCCCUUAGUGCUGCAGCUAACGCAUUAAGCACUCCGCUGGGGAGUACGACCGCAAGUUGAAACUCAAGAUUGACGGGACCCGC